Molecule: small RNA, 28 nt
Filed under: Bombyx mori (domestic silkworm)
Lineage: Eukaryota; Metazoa; Arthropoda; Insecta; Lepidoptera; Bombycidae
Description: piRNA piR-bmo-2196726
Source: RNAcentral
UAUUGCUUAGAUGGAUGGACGAGCUCAC